This 253-nucleotide ribosomal RNA is filed under the name uncultured bacterium. RNAcentral describes it as "partial 16S ribosomal RNA". It matches the Rfam family "Bacterial small subunit ribosomal RNA", at positions 524 to 776 of the family's 1533-position model. The record is from RNAcentral.
UACAGAGGUCCCAAGCGUUACUGAGAAUCACUGGGUUUAAAGGGUGCGUAGGUGGUCCGUUAAGUCAGUUGUGAAAUCCCCGGGCUCAACCCGGGAAAUGCUUCUGAUACUGGCGGACUUGAGGCCAGUAGGGGUCACUAGAACUGACGGUGGAGCGGUGAAAUGCGUAGAUAUCAGGAGGAACACCGGUGGCGAAGGCGGUUCUCUGGGCAUGUCCUGACGCUGAGGAGCGAAAGUGUGGGGAGCGAACAGG